UCAUGACCAGGAUGAAGCUUGGGUAAAACCAAGUGGAAGUCCGAACCGACCGAUGUUGAAAAAUCGGCGGAUGAGUUGUGGUUAGGGGUGAAAUGCCAAUCGAACUCGGAGCUAGCUGGUUCUCCCCGAAAUGCGUUGAGGCGCAGCGAUUAACGAUUUUAAUAGAGCUAUCUAGGGGUAAAGCACUGUUUCGGUGCGGGCUGCGAGAGCGGUACCAAAUCGUAGCAAACUAAGAAUACUAAAUAUUGCUUUCCGUUAAUCAGUGAGACGGUGGGGGAUAAGCUUCAUCGUCGAGAGGGAAACAGCCCAGAUCACUAGCUAAGGCCCCUAAAUGAUUGCUAAGUGGCAAAGGAGGUGAAAAUGCUAAAACAACCAGGAGGUUUGCUUAGAAGCAGCCAUCCUUAAAAGAGUGCGUAAUAGCUCACUGGUGAAGCGUUUUUGCGCCGAAAAUGAACGGGACUAAGCAAUCUGCCGAAGCUGUGGGUUAGAAUUUUUUAUAAAAAAAUUCUUACGGUAGGGGAGCGUUCCGCUCUAGGGUGAAGUAUUUAUGAAAAUAAGUAUGGACGAAGCGGAAGUGAGAAUGUCGGCUUGAGUAACGCAAACAUUGGUGAGAAUCCAAUGCCCCGAAAACCUAAGGGUUCCUUUACUAGGUUCGUCCAUGAAGGGUGAGUCAGGACCUAAGGCGAGGCUGAAAAGCGUAGUCGAUGGCAAACAGGUUAAUAUUCCUGUACUAAGCUUCAAUUUAUACCGAGGGACGAAGAAAGCAAAAAUUAGCCAAAAAAUGGAUUGUUGGUGGAAGUGUUCAAAGUCGUGAAAAAUAGAAAAAAAACUAUUUUUAAACUAAGACAUGAUACGAUUUUAUUCCCUGAUUGUAUUGAAAGUGCUUCGCACUUUUAGUACUGAUUAAUAAUAAAAUUUAAUUUUUUGUUAAGCUUCCUAGAAAAGCUCGUAGUAUUUAUAUUGUCAAAUUACCUGUACCUUAAACCGACACAGGUAGGUGGGUAGAGUAUACCUAGGGGCGCGAGAUAACUCUCUCUAAGGAACUCGGCAAAAUGGCCCCGUAACUUCGGGAGAAGGGGUGCCUCUUUCAAAAGAGGCCGCAGUGACCAGGCCCAAGCGACUGUUUACCAAAAACACAGGUCUCCGCUAAGUCGUAAGACAACAUAUGGGGGCUGACGCCUGCCCAGUGCCGGAAGGUGAAGGAAGUUGGUUAUUCAUUAGAAGAAGCUAAUAACCGAAGCCCCGGUGAACGGCGGCCGUAACUAUGACGGUCCUAAGGUAGCGAAAUUCCUUGUCGGGUAAGUUCCGACCCGCACGAAAGGCGUAACGAUUUGGGCGCUGUCUCGGAGAGAGACUCGGUGAAAUAGACAUGUCCGUGAAGAUGCGGACUUCUUGCACCUGGACAGAAAGACCCUAUGAAGCUUGACUGUAGCUUGUAAUUGGGUUCGGGCUUUUUUUGCGCAGCCUAGGUGGGAGGCAUUGAUAAUUUUCUUCUGGGAAAAUUUGAGCCGUUCGUGAGAGACCACUCUGAAAGAGCUAGAAUCCUAAUAAUGAUCCUUGAAUCAGGACAUUUGACAGUUGCAGGUGGGCAGUUUGACUGGGGCGGUCGCCUCCUAAAAAGUAACGGAGGCGUGCAAAGGUUCCCUCAGGCUGGACGGAAAUCAGCUUAAGAGUGUAAAGGCAAAAGGGAGCUUGACUGCAAGACUUACAAGUCGAGCAGGGGCGAAAGCCGGCCUUAGUGAUCCGACGGUACCGCGUGGAAGGGCCGUCGCUCAACGGAUAAAAGUUACUCUAGGGAUAACAGGCUGAUCUUCCCCAAGAGUUCACAUCGACGGGAAGGUUUGGCACCUCGAUGUCGGCUCAUCGCAACCUGGGGCGGUAGUACGUCCCAAGGGUUGGGCUGUUCGCCCAUGAAAGCGGUACGUGAGCUGGGUUCAGAACGUCGUGAGACAGUUCGG
Molecule: ribosomal RNA, 1958 nt
Filed under: Nannochloris normandinae
Lineage: Eukaryota; Viridiplantae; Chlorophyta; Trebouxiophyceae; Chlorellales; Chlorellaceae
Description: partial 23S large subunit ribosomal RNA
Rfam family: Bacterial large subunit ribosomal RNA
Source: RNAcentral